AGCCUGAUGCAGCGACGCCGCGUGAGGGAUGACGGCCUUCGGGUUGUAAACCUCUUUCAGCAGGGACGAAGCGAAAGUGACGGUACCUGCAGAAGAAGCACCGGCCAACUACGUGCCAGCAGCCGCGGUAAUACGUAGGGUGCGAGCGUUGUCCGGAAUUACUGGGCGUAAAGAGCUCGUAGGCGGUUUGUCGCGUCGUCUGUGAAAACCAGCAGCUCAACUGCUGGCUUGCAGGCGAUACGGGCAGACUUGAGUACUGCAGGGGAGACUGGAAUUCCUGGUGUAGCGGUGAAAUGCGCAGAUAUCAGGAGGAACACCGGUGGCGAAGGCGGGUCUCUGGGCAGUAACUGACGCUGAGGAGCGAAAGCGUGGGUAGCGAACAGGAUUAGAUACCCUGGUAGUCCACGCCGUAAACGGUGGGCGCUAGGUGUGGGUUUCCUUCCACGGGAUCCGUGCCGUAGCUAACGCAUUAAGCGCCCCGCCUGGGGAGUACGGCCGCAAGGCUAAAACUCA
This 513-nucleotide ribosomal RNA is filed under the name Rhodococcus pedocola. RNAcentral describes it as "bacterial SSU rRNA". It matches the Rfam family "Bacterial small subunit ribosomal RNA", at positions 380 to 903 of the family's 1533-position model. Lineage: Bacteria; Bacillati; Actinomycetota; Actinomycetes; Mycobacteriales; Nocardiaceae. The record is from RNAcentral.